This 68-nucleotide transfer RNA is filed under the name Barbatia virescens. RNAcentral's name for it is "tRNA-Val". Lineage: Eukaryota; Metazoa; Mollusca; Bivalvia; Arcoida; Arcidae. The record is from RNAcentral.
UUGGGGGUAGUAUAAGUUUAUUAUGUUUGGUUUACACCCGGAUGAUGUUUCUUUUGGGACUCCCCGAA